AUAAACGACUUUAUUUCUUUUUUCUGUCUCCUUCUUUUUUUUUUUUUCUUACGAGAAAGAACCAACAGGGAUUGCCUAGUAACGGCGAGUGAAGCGGCAACAGCUCAAAUUUGAAAUCUGGCUCUUUUAGAGUCCGAGUUGUAAUUUGCAGAGGGCGCUUUGGCUUUGGCAGCGGUCCAAGUUCCUUGGAACAGGACGUCACAGAGGGUGAGAAUCCCGUACGUGGUCGCUGGCUAUUGCCGUGUAAAGCCCCUUCGACGAGUCGAGUUGUUUGGGAAUGCAGCUCUAAAUGGGAGGUACAUUUCUUCUAAAGCUAAAUAUUGGCCAGAGACCGAUAGCGCACAAGUAGAGUGAUCGAAAGAUGAAAAGCACUUUGGAAAGAGAGUCAAACAGCACGUGAAAUUGUUGAAAGGGAAGCGCUUGCAGCCAGACUUGCUUACAGUUGCUCAUCCGGGUUUCUACCCGGUGCACUCUUCUGUAGGCAGGCCAGCAUCAGUUUGGGCGGUAGGAUAAAGGUCUCUGUCACGUACCUCCUUUCGGGGAGGCCUUAUAGGGGAGACGACAUACUACCAGCCUGGACUGAGGUCCGCGCAUCUGCUAGGAUGCUGGCGUAAUGGCUGUAAGCGGCCCGUCUUGAAACACGGACCAAGGAGUCUAACAUCUAUGCGAGUGUUUGGGUGUCAAGCCCGAGCGCGUAAUGAAAGUGAACGGAGGUGGGAACCCGCAAGGGUGCACCAUCGACCGAUCCUGAUGUCUUCGGAAGGAUUUGAGUAAGAGCAUGGCUGUUGGGACCCGAAAGAUGGUGAACUAUGCUUGAAUAGGGUGAAGCCAGAGGAAACUCUGGUGGAGGCUCGCAGCGGUUCUGACGUGCAAAUCGAUCGUCAAAUUUGGGCAUAGGGGCGAAAGACUAAUCGAACAUCUAUACUGGUCCGAAGGCC
Molecule: ribosomal RNA, 938 nt
Filed under: Alternaria alternata
Lineage: Eukaryota; Fungi; Ascomycota; Dothideomycetes; Pleosporales; Pleosporaceae
Description: partial large subunit ribosomal RNA
Rfam family: Eukaryotic large subunit ribosomal RNA
Source: RNAcentral